This 468-nucleotide ribosomal RNA is filed under the name uncultured bacterium. Its description in RNAcentral is "partial 16S ribosomal RNA". It matches the Rfam family "Bacterial small subunit ribosomal RNA", at positions 28 to 507 of the family's 1533-position model. The record is from RNAcentral.
GACGAACGCUGGCGGCGUGCUUAACACAUGCAAGUCGAACGGAAAGGCCCUGCUUUUGUGUGGUGCUCGAGUGGCGAACGGGUGAGUAACACGUGAGUAACCUGCCCUUGACUUUGGGAUAACUUCAGGAAACUGGGUCUAAUACCGGAUAUGAGCUCCUGCUGCAUGGUGGGGGGUGGAAAGUUUCGGCGGUGGGGGAUGGGCGCGCGGCUUAUCAGCUUGUUGGUGGGGUAGUGGCUUACCAAGGCUUUGACGGGUAGCCGGCCUGAGAGGGUGACCGGCCACAUUGGGACUGAGAUACGGACCAGUGUCCUACGGGAGGCAGCAGUGGGGAAUAUUGCACAAUGGGCGGAAGCCUGAUGCAGCAACGCCGCGUGCGGGAUGACGGCCUUCGGGUUGUAAAACGCUUUCGCCUGUGACGAAGCGUGAGUGACGGUAAUGGGUAAAGAAGCACCGGCUAACUACGUG